UUAUCUUUUCUUCAUGAGUUAAUUUCAAUUCUAUUUGAAGGAAACAUGGUUAGAGCACUACACCAAACUUAAUUACCUUGCUGUAGUUGCAAACUUGAUGAGUAUAUACUAUAUAGUAUAAUUACCGUGGUCAAAAUUGAUUGUGUGAAUUUGGCAACCAGUAGAUGUUAUCAAAAGAAAUCUCCCGAUUACCAAAAUUUUCAAUGUAAUAUCUGCUCGCUCUUUUAUGUUUUUCUUUUUGUGAUUAUGGUUUCAUAGUGAUCUUGAUCGAGUCUGAAUCCAAAGUGUUUGGAAUUUUGUGGUAUAGACUUGGACACCUUAAUAACUGGCCAUCUGUUUAAAUAAUGCACGUGUCUGAACAAAAUUACAUGCAGAUUUAGAAAGCUAGUAUAUAGAGCCACCUUUUCUAUCUUGGGAACUCACUUGUAUUCCUUUCACCUCCUCUUUUUCUUGUGUUAAAUAUGGAGCUUCGCAAAGCUAUCUUAGCCUUUGUGUUGAUCUUGGUUCUUUCCUUAUUGUAUGGCGGGGUUAAGGCAUUGAGUAGAAGGGACUACUCUUUGGUAGAGAAGAGUGAGAGGAGACCUUUAGUUGUUUCUGAAUAUGGAACGGUCUCCGCCGUUGAUGUCUAAGCCGGGCAUGGUGCACCGUUACACCAUCUUCAGUUCAUCACAUUGGAACCUAACUCUCUCUUCCUUCCCAUCCUUCUCCAUGUAGAUAUGCUCUUAUAUGUCCAACAGAGAGUGGAAGAUUAACUAGUGCAGAUGAAGAUGGAACAAAGAGCAUUGAUUUACGUGUAGGAGAUCUGUGCAAGCUAGAUGAAGGAACUGUUUUCAUAUACAGAGCAACUCUGAUGAACUUAGCCUCUAUGCCAUGUUUGCCAAUUCAGACGAUCACGCUUAUGUAACAAGUGCUUCUGCUAAUCUACUUUUUAACUAGUCUAACUAGUUUAUAAUUAAGCUUUCUUUCAAUGCAGGAUCCUUCAAUAGGUGCUUACUCAAUGGUCAACGAACUCAUCAAAGGCUUUGACAAGAGAAUUAUUCAAGCAGCAUUUAAGAUGCAGUUAUUGGAGCAUCAGGUGCAAAUAUCAGUUACAUUUGUUGUGCUAGUGGAGCAAGUGUUAAGGUUCAGGAGACAAGGAGCGUGCUAGGGGAGAUGACUGUUGAAAUAAGUGGGACUACAUUAGAGAUACAGGCAGUCCUAAUAUUGUUGUUAUUUUUGUAAAAUUUAUGGGAUUGAAUUUAAAUUUUUUGAAAUACAAUGUCAUUUUUGGAAAAUUCAACUUUUUGAUAAUAAAAAUCUUUGAUGUUGGAGA
Molecule: long non-coding RNA, 1312 nt
Organism: Arachis duranensis
Lineage: Eukaryota; Viridiplantae; Streptophyta; Magnoliopsida; Fabales; Fabaceae
Exons: 3
Source: RefSeq, a predicted model, not a curated record